CAUCCGCGUAAAAUCCGAACGGUUCAGAUCGAUUCCACCUCCACCUCCCUCAAUCAGCGCACGACCCGCACGGCCCACCCCCCUCCCUAUCGCUCUCCCACCACACCUGCGCCUCCGCCCUCCUCCGGAAUUCCGCUCCCGCACCUCCGCCAUCAGCGCUCCGCUCCGUAUCAGCCGCCGCGCCGUCCUCUGCAUCGCCUGUCUGCCACCGAUCCCCGCCGCCAGCUCGCCCUCCACGAUCCUCCGCCUCCCCGCUGCACGAGGUCCUCCCGUCGCCAGGUCGUCGCCGCCGUUCUGCUCCACCAAUCCCCGCCGCACGAGGUGCUCCCGUCACUAGGUAGCCACCGCACCAUCCUCUGCAUCGCCUGUCUCCACCGAUCCCCUUUGCAUCGCAGGGGUGAGCUGCAGCUAUGGAGUUCCUCGCCGGUGGGGGAGCAGCAGGUGAAUCCCGUGAGAGUUCAUCAGCUGGUGACCAGUCCGGAACUUGGCAUCGUGGAGUACAAUGAACGCGGGGUGCUCAGCGAAAUGUCCCGUCCGGCUCCUCACCUGCAAUGCAUGUGUUUUGGAGAGUGUUUAUGGAUUCUGGAUCUUAGACCCCCUCAACGACUUGGAUCAUCAGUAAAGCUUCAUCUUGAAGUCAUCAAGCAAGAAAAUCCUUGGCGGUUCUGGUCGCGUUGA
This 678-nucleotide long non-coding RNA is filed under the name Oryza sativa Indica Group (long-grained rice). RNAcentral describes it as "lncRNA OsLima_06g0026850". The record is from RNAcentral. Lineage: Eukaryota; Viridiplantae; Streptophyta; Magnoliopsida; Poales; Poaceae.